UACGGGGGGGCAAGCGUUGUUCGGAAUUACUGGGCGUAAAGGGCUCGUAGGUGGCCAACUAAGUCAGACGUGAAAUCCCUCGGCUUAACCGGGGAACUGCGUCUGAUACUGGAUGGCUUGAGGUUGGGAGAGGGAUGCGGAAUUCCAGGUGUAGCGGUGAAAUGCGUAGAUAUCUGGAGGAACACCGGUGGCGAAGGCGGCAUCCUGGACCAAUUCUGACGCUGAGGAGCGAAAGCCAGGGGAGC
Molecule: ribosomal RNA, 245 nt
Filed under: uncultured bacterium
Lineage: Bacteria
Description: partial 16S ribosomal RNA
Rfam family: Bacterial small subunit ribosomal RNA
Source: RNAcentral